GAUGAAGAACGCAGUGAAAUGCGAUAAGUAAUGUGAAUUGCAGAAUUCAGUGAAUCAUCGAAUCUUUGAACGCUCAUUGCGCCCCUUGGUAUUCCGGGGGGCAUGCCUCUUCCAGCGUCAUUUCACCCCUCAAGCUCUGCUUGGUAUUGGGCCGCGCCGGCAACGGCGGGCCUCGAAAAUAGUGGCGACGCCAUCGUGCUCUCAGCGUAGUAAUUCUUCUCGCUGUUGGGUCCCGGUGGUCGUCCGCCAGCAACCCCCAACUUUCUUAAGUUUGACCUGGGAUGAGGUAGGGAUACCCGCUGAACUUAAGCAUAUCAAUAAGCGGAGGA
This 329-nucleotide unclassified non-coding RNA is filed under the name soil metagenome. RNAcentral describes it as "partial contains 5.8S ribosomal RNA, internal transcribed spacer 2, and large subunit ribosomal RNA". The stretch from base 1 to 120 matches the Rfam family "5.8S ribosomal RNA", at positions 35 to 154 of the family's 154-position model. The record is from RNAcentral.